Long non-coding RNA from Hypanus sabinus (Atlantic stingray), 2182 nucleotides. RefSeq lists it as uncharacterized. NCBI's taxonomy places the organism in Eukaryota, Metazoa, Chordata, Chondrichthyes, Myliobatiformes, Dasyatidae. The record is from RefSeq and is a predicted model, not a curated record. The transcript has 3 exons.
UAAAGUAGUUUUUUAUUUGACAAAAUGAGACACUCUCUGAAGAACAAGGUCUGUUCAACCCAAUGUUACAUGACAUUUUAUAUGCUAAAGAUCAAAGGAGAAUUCUAUAUUUACAAUGUUUCCUUUGAAUUACAUAUAAUAUUCACAACUCCUUCUUGGCACCCACACUCCAGAUACCCAAAAUGAAUGUUAAUCUGCAUUGUCUGGUUCAAUCAACUACUAUUCACAACUCUAAGAACCUAUUGUCCAGACCUGCAUUUAAUAUUUAAUCUGCAGUCCACAUUCGGGUCUAAAGAUUGGUUGCUGAAGUUAAUUUAACAUUUUGCUAUUCGUCCUAAAUCCAGAAUAUGCCCCAACACUAGUCUUUUAUACCUCAAACAGCAGACAUGACUUCUGGAGGGAAUACCACAAUUGUCAGCCUGUGGUUUUUGACUGACAACAUCCAACAUAAGGCUGUAUGCCUUCAGCAGUUGCACCAAUGCCUAUGAAAUAAUGGCCACAACUUGCUGGCCAAAUCAUAAGAACACACUCCUGCAGAUUCAACUUGCUGUCCUCUUUCAAACUGUCCAUUUUGAUUCCUCGCCCCAACUUUCUCAGGUGAGUGCUUGAAUUGCCUGGAUAUAGAAGGUUAUGGCCCAAGUACUGAAAGAUGCAAUUAAUAUGGAUGGGUGCUCACUGCCCAGUUGAAUAUGGUGGGAUAAAUGGCCUGCUUCCCUGCUUAUGGCUCUAUGACACAUUUGCAUCAUCUCCCUUCUACUAAAGCAUUAAAAUAUAUUUAGUACCUAAUAUACUCCCUGUACCCAAUAAAGUGGCCAAAAGUGUAUGCUCCUGGUCUUCUGCUCUUGUAGCCCACGUACUUUAAGGUUUAACGUGCUGUGCAUUCAGAGAUGCUAUUCUGAACAGUACUGUUGUAACCUGUGAUUAUGAGAGCUACUGUCACCUUCCUGUCAGCUUUAAACAGUCUGGUCAUUCUCCUCUCACCACUCUCAUUUGUUCACAGAACUGCUACUCACUGGAUUUUUGUUUUUUGCUUUUGCACCACGCUCUGUGACUGUUGUAUGUGAAAAUCCCAGGAGAUCAGCAGUUUCUGAAAUAUUCAAACCACCCCAUCUGGCACCAACAAUCGUUCCACAGACAAAGUCACUUAGAUUACAUUUCUUCCCCAUUCUGAAGUUUCGUCUGAACCAGCUGAACCUCUUGAACAUGCCUACAUGCUUUUAUGCAUUGAGUUGCGGUCACAUAAUUGGCUGAUUAGAUAUUUGCAUUAAUGAGCAGGUGUACAUAUAUGGUGACCAUUGAGUGUAGGCUAUAAGCAGAAACCCUAGCAUUGUUCCUUGUAAUAAUCCCUGCGAUCAUCACGGUGCAAAUUCAUGAAACUCCCUCCCCAACAGAACUUCCUCACAAGAAGGAAUGCAAUUGAUCAAGGAGCUGUUGGUAAAUGGCCAAUGUUACUGGCAUUGUCAGAAACACCCGCAUUUCAUGAAUGAAUUUUUUAAAAAGGUAACUUGCUCUGAAUUACAGCUCAAAAGAUGAUGAUUAACAGUUCAAAAUAGUGAAAAGAGAAAUAGGGAGCACAAAAGCAUCCAUUGUUCUCCCACAACCAGAAUAAGAAUGCACUUAAUAAUUAAUGCAUGAAGUGACAUCUUCUGUAAUAUUUGCUCCAACUCUUCUAGCUUCCCUUGCAGACAUUCAUUUUAUUGCGACUGUGGUAUUGCUGGCACUAUCUAAGGCGGAGAUGGAGAAAGAAGUGGGCAUCAAUUAUUUACAAAGGGUUCUUUUGAAGACCCUGACCUGGAGUUACACGGUGACUCUGGUUCUUUGCGGGAAUGGAACCUACUCUCGGUGUCUCACGACCGGGCGCUAUUUGAUAUACCAAGAAUGUGGCCUAGAAGACCAGUUUGCCGUCAGUGUUUUGGGAUUUCGUGGCUCGAAAUCGGUGGGUCCACAGAAAAUUGGUGCGUCGUGGGAGAUGGAAGAUCAAAAGCAGCAAGCUGGCUGCUGGCUGUGUGCCCAGAGUUCUUUGGGCAUGGAGCUUGGAAAACGUGACGCAAAAGACUUUUAACAUCGAUAUGAAGGGAGAAGACACCAGAGAGAAGAAGUCAUAGGACUCGAACCGGAGAGGGGCCAUGAUCCGACGAAGGCCAGGGAGAUCGAAGAAGGAUCGUCAAAGGGAAAACUUGUG